RNAcentral lists this ribosomal RNA (485 nucleotides) under uncultured bacterium. RNAcentral's name for it is "bacterial SSU rRNA". It matches the Rfam family "Bacterial small subunit ribosomal RNA", at positions 30 to 507 of the family's 1533-position model. The record is from RNAcentral.
AUUGAACGCUGGCGGAAUGCUUUACACAUGCAAGCCGAACGGCAGCACGGACUUCGGUCUGGUGGCGAGUGGCGAACGGGUGAGUAAUAUAUCGGAACGUGCCCAGUCGUGGGGGAUAACGUAGUGAAAAUUACGCUAAUACCGCAUACGAUCUAAGGAUGAAAGCGGGGGAUCGCAAGACCUCGCGCGAUUGGAGCGGCCGAUAUCAGAUUAGGUAGUUGGUGAGGUAAAGGCUCACCAAGCCGACGAUCUGUAGCUGGUCUGAGAGGACGACCAGCCACACUGGAACUGAGACACGGUCCAGACUCCUACGGGAGGCAGCAGUGGGGAAUUUUGGACAAUGGACGCAAGUCUGAUCCAGCCAUGCCGCGUGCAGGAAGAAGGCCUUCGGGUUGUAAACUGUCUUUUGUACGGAACGAAAAGGCUCUGGUUAAUACCUGGGGCUCAUGACGGUACCGUAAGAAUAAGCACCGGCUAACUACGUG